Molecule: ribosomal RNA, 515 nt
Filed under: Oreina elongata styriaca
Lineage: Eukaryota; Metazoa; Arthropoda; Insecta; Coleoptera; Chrysomelidae
Description: partial 16S ribosomal RNA
Rfam family: Bacterial large subunit ribosomal RNA
Source: RNAcentral
GUCCUUUUGUUGAUAAUUUAAGGUCUAGCCUGCCCACUGAAAUUUUAAAUGGCCGUGGUAUUUUGACCGUGCUAAGGUAGCAUAAUCAUUAGUUUUUUAAUUAAAAACUGGAAUGAAAGGUUGGAUAAGAAAAUAGCUGUCUCUGUUAAAUUUAAUUAGAAUUUUAUUUUUAAGUUAAAAAGCUUAAUUAUUAUUAAAAGACGAGAAGACCCUAUAGAGUUUGAUUAUUUGAUAAAAAUUAUAUUUUAGUAUUUAUUUAUUUAUUUUAUUAAAUAAUUUAAUUGGGGUGAUUGAAAAAUUUAAUUAACUUUUUUUAUUUAGAAACAUUAAUUUAUGAAUGAAUGAUCCAAUAUUUUUGAUUAUAAGAUAAAAUUACCUUAGGGAUAACAGCGUAAUUUUUUUAGAAAGUUCAUAUUAAAAAAAAAGAUUGCGACCUCGAUGUUGGAUUAAAAUAAAUUUUUGGUGUAGAAGCUAAAAUAUUAGGUCUGUUCGACCUUUAAAAUUUUACAUGAUCU